CGCUACUUACAGCACCUCUAAAUCAGGACUUCUUAACCCCGGGUUUCUGAAUCCACAGAACAAUGGACAGAGAAAAGGAGACUCAGGAGCAGGAUUUGUGUGUGUGUCUGCAUGUGUACGGUUGGGUGGGGAACCACUUGCCUCUAGAGACACGCAGAGCAAAAGCCCCUUUCUACACUUUUCAGAUAAUACAGAAUGUAAGUACUUUGAGGACAGGAACUCUCAUUUUUUUUUAUCUUUCUAUCCCAGUAAAUGGCACACUGUCUUUUACAGUUAUGGUUUGAUAUAUACUUGUUGGACUAAAUUGAGUUGAAAUUGGCAAACAAUGGGAAAAUGCAAAUGGAGAGUAAAUCAGCUGGGUGAUUCUUGCUAUGAUUUGGUAUCACUUUUAAAUGAAGUACAUUUCAAGCAUCAAAGAGAAUGGUACUUGUAAACUUUCCAGGCAGCCAAUGGAGCCCUCUCAACAGAACAGAUAAUUAUAGUUCUUUCUUCAAUACAGGAAAGACUGAGACUUAACCCUAUUUGUUUGGUGAGGCAUUAAUGCUAGGGAUGCUUAUUCACACAUCUGGGAGGCCUGGGGUCAAUGGGCUUUCCAUUAGGAGAAAAGUACCUUUAAGGGACAUUUAUGUAAUGUUGAAAGGUUAGCUCUGUUACCUAUAUUCAUUCAUCUAAACCUAACAUAAUCUCAGAUAAGGUUAUGGGAAUGAAAGAUAAGAUUAUGCCUAAUGGACAUAUGGGAAAAUUGAGGCUGAGAAUUGUUAAAGCAUGUGCUCACAAUCACAGAUAAUUGGUGAAUUGGUGUCAGAGUCAGGGUUUGAAUCUUUUUGACUCCACAACUGAUAGUGUAUUCAUUAUGCCACACUGAUGUGCAUACACACAGUAAUUAAACAAUCCACAAAAACAUCAGUUUUCUUUAAAGGCCCAGUUCCACAGCAAAAAAGGUAAAUAAAUAACAAAAACUAUGUUUCUGUCA
This 973-nucleotide long non-coding RNA is filed under the name Monodelphis domestica (gray short-tailed opossum). Its description in RNAcentral is "lncRNA (ENSMODG00000043277.1)". Lineage: Eukaryota; Metazoa; Chordata; Mammalia; Didelphimorphia; Didelphidae. The record is from RNAcentral.